Marasmius oreades (fairy-ring Marasmius) is the source of this 101-nucleotide non-coding RNA. Lineage: Eukaryota; Fungi; Basidiomycota; Agaricomycetes; Agaricales; Marasmiaceae. The record is from the annotation of a RefSeq genome assembly.
GCCCGCCUAGCUCAAUCGGAUAUAUAGAGCAUCAGACUCUUAUUGCUGACUUCCGUCUUGGAACAAUCUGAAGGCUGCGAGUUCGACCCUCACGGUGGGUU